AGCAUCAUGCACCCAUCGGUUGAAUGUGACCUGCAUCUAUUUCUCAUUAGCUAGUUUUGUCUAAUAACUGAUAACGUUAAUCGUCUUACAUCGGCACUAAAUAACAAGCAGAAGACAAAUUCAGGCUUCAGCUUGUUUUGAGGCUGUGCAUCCUCACGAUCCCCGGCCAACAUCAUCAACAAGUGGUCAGUGUCCACUGCAGCAAGCUGUGCACAACCUCACUCCUGUUACAGGAACAGUGCUGCCUGCAACAGCAUCCAGCAUCACCUGUUUGGGUCAGCGAUGGUCUGGGGAGGCAUAUCCUUGGAGGGCUUCAGAGACCUCCAUGUGCUAGCCAACGGUACCCUGGCUGCUGUUAGGUACCAGGAUGAAAUCCUCAGAGCCAUUGUCAGACCUUUCGCGGGUGCAGUGGUCCUGUGUUCCUCCUGGUUGUAGGACAAUGCCCGGCCACACUACUGAGUCACAUUAUGAGUUGCCGUGAAGAAAGUCAUGCACGUUGGGUCAGCCUAUGAUUAAACUUUUUGAUUGAC
Long non-coding RNA from Micropterus dolomieu (smallmouth bass), 530 nucleotides. RefSeq lists it as uncharacterized. Lineage: Eukaryota; Metazoa; Chordata; Actinopteri; Centrarchiformes; Centrarchidae. The transcript is spliced from 4 exons. The record is from RefSeq and is a predicted model, not a curated record.